Molecule: non-coding RNA, 72 nt
Organism: Bos taurus (domestic cattle)
Lineage: Eukaryota; Metazoa; Chordata; Mammalia; Artiodactyla; Bovidae
Source: Rfam
UCUCUGGUAGCUUAGCUGGUAAAGAGUCUGCCUGCAAUGCAGGAGACCCUGGUUCAAUUCCUGGAUCGAGAA